GAUGAACGCUGGCGGCGUGCCUAAUACAUGCAAGUCGAGCGAACGGACGAGAAGCUUGCUUCUCUGAUGUUAGCGGCGGACGGGUGAGUAACACGUGGAUAACCUACCUAUAAGACUGGGAUAACUUCGGGAAACCGGAGCUAAUACCGGAUAAUAUUUUGAACCGCAUGGUUCAAAAGUGAAAGACGGUCUUGCUGUCACUUAUAGAUGGAUCCGCGCUGCAUUAGCUAGUUGGUAAGGUAACGGCUUACCAAGGCAACGAUGCAUAGCCGACCUGAGAGGGUGAUCGGCCACACUGGAACUGAGACACGGUCCAGACUCCUACGGGAGGAAGCAGUAGGGAAUCUUCCGAAAUGGGCGAAAGCCUGACGGAGCAACGCCGCGUGAGUGAUGAAGGUCUUCGGAUCGUAAAACUCUGUUAUUAGGGAAGAACAUAUGUGUAAGUAACUGUGCACAUCUUGACGGUACCUAAUCAGAAAGCCACGGCUAACUACGUG
Molecule: ribosomal RNA, 497 nt
Filed under: uncultured bacterium
Lineage: Bacteria
Description: partial 16S ribosomal RNA
Rfam family: Bacterial small subunit ribosomal RNA
Source: RNAcentral